RNAcentral lists this ribosomal RNA (870 nucleotides) under Roussoella neopustulans. RNAcentral describes it as "eukaryotic LSU rRNA". It matches the Rfam family "Eukaryotic large subunit ribosomal RNA", at positions 48 to 936 of the family's 3401-position model. The record is from RNAcentral. Lineage: Eukaryota; Fungi; Ascomycota; Dothideomycetes; Pleosporales; Thyridariaceae.
AAGCGGAGGAAAAGAAACCAACAGGGAUUGCCUCAGUAACGGCGAGUGAAGCGGCAACAGCUCAAAUUUGAAAUCUGGCCCUUUCAGGGUCCGAGUUGUAAUUUGUAGAGGGUGCUUUGGCGUUGGCCGUGGUCUAAGUUCCUUGGAACAGGACGUCACAGAGGGUGAGAAUCCCGUACGUGGCCGCCGGUCUUCGCCGUGUAAAGCCCCUUCGACGAGUCGAGUUGUUUGGGAAUGCAGCUCUAAAUGGGAGAUAAAUUUCUUCUAAAGCUAAAUAUUGGCCAGAGACCGAUAGCGCACAAGUAGAGUGAUCGAAAGAUGAAAAGCACUUUGGAAAGAGAGUCAAAAAGCACGUGAAAUUGUUGAAAGGGAAGCGCUUGCAGCCAGACGUGCCCGCAGUUGCUCACCUGGGCUCUCGCCCGGGGCAUUCUUCUGCGGGCAGGCCAGCAUCAGUUCGGGCGGUUGGAUAAAGGCCUCUAUCACGUAUCUUCCUUCGGGAUGACCUUAUAGGGGAGGCGCAACACGGCCAGCCUGAACUGAGGACCGCGCAUCAGCUAGGAUGCUGGCGUAAUGGCUGUAAGCGGCCCGUCUUGAAACACGGACCAAGGAGUCUAACAUCUAUGCGAGUGUUUGGGUGUAAAGCCCGGGCGCGCAAUGAAAGUGAACGGAGGUGGGAACCCCUCGGGGUGCACCAUCGACCGAUCCUGAAGUCUUCGGAUGGAUUUGAGUAAGAGCAUAGCUGUUGGGACCCGAAAGAUGGUGAACUAUGCCUGAAUAGGGUGAAGCCAGGGGAAACCCUGGUGGAGGCUCGCAGCGGUUCUGACGUGCAAAUCGAUCGUCAAAUUUGGGCAUAGGGGCGAAAGACUAAUC